GGAGAGAUGGCAGAGUGGUCGAUUGCGGCGGUCUUGAAAACCGUUGAGGUGUAACAGCCUCCGGGGGUUCGAAUCCCUCUCUCUCCGCAA
RNAcentral lists this transfer RNA (90 nucleotides) under Bacteroidia bacterium. RNAcentral's name for it is "tRNA-Ser". It matches the Rfam family "tRNA". From Rfam's summary of the family: Transfer RNA (tRNA) molecules are approximately 80 nucleotides in length. The record is from RNAcentral. Lineage: Bacteria; Pseudomonadati; Bacteroidota; Bacteroidia.